This is a long non-coding RNA of Oreochromis aureus, 395 nucleotides long. The record is from Ensembl. Lineage: Eukaryota; Metazoa; Chordata; Actinopteri; Cichliformes; Cichlidae.
CUGCCAUACACGUUAUGUGUCUGUGAGCGAGGGAGGGAGAGAAAGGAAAAGUCCGAGCUGUCACGGAGCAAAAACGGGAGCUGGAAGCAUGUAAAUAUAAUAAUAACCACAGCAGCCAAGAAGAGUGCCUGAGGAGCCCAUUUAGCUCAAACAGAGGGCAGCCGGUUGAUCAGGGAAACCGAAGGCAGGAGAAGCACACCUGAGGCGGCGCCGGUCCAAGCGUCAGGUGAGCUGAAUUUCAGGUAAGAAGUUAUGAACUGCACUCUAUCUGGGUCAGAUAUAAACCGAGUUUAGGUGUAGUUUAUUUUCUUUGUGCUGACUUUUUACAAUCAGUUACAAUAACUCGUACUGCGUGCUAGCUAGCACGGCGGAGUUUCCAUACAGCCGUGUGCGUG